RNAcentral lists this ribosomal RNA (250 nucleotides) under uncultured bacterium. RNAcentral's name for it is "partial 16S ribosomal RNA". It matches the Rfam family "Bacterial small subunit ribosomal RNA", at positions 524 to 773 of the family's 1533-position model. The record is from RNAcentral.
UACGGGGGGGGCUAGCGUUGUUCGGAAUUACUGGGCGUAAAGGGCUCGUAGGUGGCCAACUCAGUCACUCGUGAAAUCCCUCGGCUUAACCGGGGAACUGCGUGUGAUACUGGAUGGCUUGAAUCCGGGAGAGGGAUGCGGAAUUCCAGGUGUAGCGGUGAAAUGCGUAGAUAUCUGGAGGAACACCGGUGGCGAAGGCGGCAUCCUGGACCGGUAUUGACACUGAGGAGCGAAAGCCAGGGGAGCAAAC